This 102-nucleotide ribosomal RNA is filed under the name Pseudomonas citrullilanati. RNAcentral's name for it is "partial 23S ribosomal RNA". It matches the Rfam family "Bacterial large subunit ribosomal RNA", at positions 2824 to 2925 of the family's 2925-position model. The record is from RNAcentral. Lineage: Bacteria; Pseudomonadati; Pseudomonadota; Gammaproteobacteria; Pseudomonadales; Pseudomonadaceae.
UCCCUGAAGGGCCGUCGAAGACUACGACGUUGAUAGGCAGGGUGUGUAAGCGCUGUGAGGCGUUGAGCUAACCUGUACUAAUUGCCCGUGAGGCUUGACCAU